RNAcentral lists this ribosomal RNA (885 nucleotides) under uncultured fungus. RNAcentral's name for it is "eukaryotic LSU rRNA". The stretch from base 358 to 885 matches the Rfam family "Eukaryotic large subunit ribosomal RNA", at positions 1 to 649 of the family's 3401-position model. Lineage: Eukaryota; Fungi. The record is from RNAcentral.
AGUCGUAACAAGGUUUCCGUAGGUGAACCUGCGGAAGGAUCAUUAAAAUACCGAUAAAAACACUGCUUUUGGCACUAAACACACGAACCUAAUUUUUUUUUUUACCUUCUAAGUUUCACUUUUUGUGAAUUUUAAAUAAAAAAACAAAACUUUCAACAACGGAUCUCUUGGUUCUCGCAUCGAUGAAGAACGCAGCGAAUUGCGAUACGUAUUAUGACUUGCAGACGUGAAUCAUCAAUCUUUGAACGCACAUUGCAUCGGGGGGUAUUCCCCCCGAUAUACCAUGUUGAGCAUAUUAUUUCUCCUUCGGGGCCUUACUUUCCAAAAUCUAAUCAACUACGUUAUUAGAAAGCCUAAUCUUCUCAGCAUGGCAGGACUACCCGCUGAACUUAAGCAUAUCAAUAAGCGGAGGAAAAGAAACCAACAGGGAUUGCCUCAGUAACGGCGAGUGAAGCGGCAAAAGCUCAAAUUUGAAAGCCUCGGCAUUGUAAUUUCAAGGUAAUUUCUCGCAUGAUCACUUUAAGUCCAUUGGAACAUGGCGCCGUGGAGGGUGACAGCCCCGUAAAAGUGUCAACGCAUCGAAAUUACCAAAGAGUCGAGUUGUUUGGGAAUGCAGCUCUAAGUGGGUGGUAAAUUCCAUCUAAAGCUAAAUAUUGGCGAGAGACCGAUAGCGAACAAGUACAGUGAUGGAAAGAUGAAAAGCACUUUGAAAAGAGAGUGAAACAGUACGUGAAAUUGUUGGAAGGGAAGGGCUUGCAAGCAGACAGGUUCGCCGGCCAGGACUCGUGGAGGAAGAGACAAAAAGCCUUGGGAGGGCGCCCUCGGGCUACUCCCUUGGAAACGCCUCCUCCCCUACAUCCCCUGGCGUAAUGCUUGUAAGCCGCC